This 569-nucleotide ribosomal RNA is filed under the name Enterobacter sp. LGMB72. RNAcentral describes it as "bacterial SSU rRNA". It matches the Rfam family "Bacterial small subunit ribosomal RNA", at positions 190 to 754 of the family's 1533-position model. The record is from RNAcentral. Lineage: Bacteria; Pseudomonadati; Pseudomonadota; Gammaproteobacteria; Enterobacterales; Enterobacteriaceae.
AAGUGGGGGACCUUCGGGCCUCUUGCCAUCAGAUGUGCCCAGAUGGGAUUAGCUAGUAGGUGUCUUUACGGCUCACCUAGGCGACGAUCCCUAGCUGGUCUGAGAGGAUGACCAGCCACACUGGAACUGAGACACGGUCCAGACUCCUACGGGAGGCAGCAGUGGGGAAUAUUGCACUAUGGGCGCAAGCCUGAUGCAGCCAUGCCGCGUGUAUGAAGAAGGCCUUCGGGUUGUAAAGUACUUUCAGCGGGGAGGAAGGCGAUAAGGUUAAUAACCUUGUCGAUUGACGUUACCCGCAGAAGAAGCACCGGCUAACUCCGUGCCAGCAGCCGCGGUAAUACGGAGGGUGCAAGCGUUAAUCGGAAUUACUGGGCGUAAAGCGCACGCAGGCGGUCUGUCAAGUCGGAUGUGAAAUCCCCGGGCUCAACCUGGGAACUGCAUUCGAAACUGGCCGGCUAGAGUCUUGUAGAGGGGGGUAGAAUUCCAGGUGUAGCGGUGAAAUGCGUAGAGAUCUGGAGGAAUACCGGUGGCGAAGGCGGCCCCCUGGACAUAGACUGACGGUCAGGUGC